AUAAAUCAAAACUUUCAACAACGGAUCUCUUGGUUCUGGCAUCGAUGAAGAACGCAGCAAAAUGCGAUAAGUAAUGUGAAUUGCAGAAUUCAGUGAAUCAUCGAAUCUUUGAACGCACAUUGCGCCCGCCAGUAUUCUGGCGGGCAUGCCUGUUCGA
This 157-nucleotide ribosomal RNA is filed under the name Fusarium fujikuroi. RNAcentral describes it as "5.8S ribosomal RNA". It matches the Rfam family "5.8S ribosomal RNA". Rfam says of the family: 5.8S ribosomal RNA (5.8S rRNA) is a component of the large subunit of the eukaryotic ribosome. It is transcribed by RNA polymerase I as part of the 45S precursor that also contains 18S and 28S rRNA. RNAcentral also lists the same sequence under 148 other names. The record is from RNAcentral. Lineage: Eukaryota; Fungi; Ascomycota; Sordariomycetes; Hypocreales; Nectriaceae.